GUGGUCUAGUGGUAUGAUUCGCGCUUCGGGUGCGCGAGGUCCCGGGUUCGAUUCUCGGCUCA
RNAcentral lists this transfer RNA (62 nucleotides) under Perkinsus olseni. Its description in RNAcentral is "tRNA-Pro". It matches the Rfam family "tRNA", at positions 7 to 64 of the family's 71-position model. Rfam says of the family: Transfer RNA (tRNA) molecules are approximately 80 nucleotides in length. The record is from RNAcentral. Lineage: Eukaryota; Perkinsozoa; Perkinsida; Perkinsidae.